GCCUACACAUGCAAGUCGAGCGGACAGAUGGGAGCUUGCUCCCUGAUGUUAGCGGCGGACGGGUGAGUAACACGUGGGUAACCUGCCUGUAAGACUGGGAUAACUCCGGGAAACCGGGGCUAAUACCGGAUGGUUGUCUGAACCGCAUGGUUCAGACAUAAAAGGUGGCUUCGGCUACCACUUACAGAUGGACCCGCGGCGCAUUAGCUAGUUGGUGAGGUAACGGCUCACCAAGGCGACGAUGCGUAGCCGACCUGAGAGGGUGAUCGGCACACUGGGACUGAGACACGGCCCAGACUCCUACGGGAGGCAGCAGUAGGGAAUCUUCCGCAAUGGACGAAAGUCUGACGGAGCAACGCCGCGUGAGUGAUGAAGGUUUUCGGAUCGUAAAGCUCUGUUGUUAGGGAAGAACAAGUGCCGUUCAAAUAGGGCGGCACCUUGACGGUACCUAACCAGAAAGCCACGG
Molecule: ribosomal RNA, 466 nt
Filed under: earthworm burrow bacterium B3D2
Lineage: Bacteria
Description: bacterial SSU rRNA
Rfam family: Bacterial small subunit ribosomal RNA
Source: RNAcentral